This 285-nucleotide long non-coding RNA is filed under the name Trifolium pratense (red clover). Its description in RNAcentral is "long non-coding RNA (TPRA_LNC001807)". Lineage: Eukaryota; Viridiplantae; Streptophyta; Magnoliopsida; Fabales; Fabaceae. The record is from RNAcentral.
CCCCACCAUCAAAUUCACCAGUUUUCUUUAAUCAAGUAAAAACAAGUUUUUUCUUCAAGAAAAGUAAAAACAAGUUUUACAAUUGUUCAAUCAUGGUUCGGUACAUAGCAGCACCAUUGCCUUUUCAAAUUGAUUGUUUUCAAAUUUGUUUUUAGCUGGCUAGAUCACAACAAUUUGAAUGUAGUAGAUCUUUAAGAUCCAAUGACUUUCAUUUGACAAAAAAACAAAAAAUCAAAUGGUUAAAAUUAGAAAAAUUAUUAUAGUUUAUGGUAGACUACUUAAAAU